GUCUGACUGUUGCCCUCAUGGGGGCAGCCAUGACAGAUACAGGAGCUCCGCUGCCCUGUCUGGCUGCCCCUGCUGCACCCUCACUUACCAGGGGAAAGUGGGCCCUGGUCAUGUUCUCCACUACCUGGCGGAGGAUGGCAGUGGAGGAGUAACCCCAGCGGCACAGGUGAAAGCCCAGGCCCCAGUACGGCGGCAUGAAGGGGUGCCCUGCAGGCCAACAGCACUGCCUCUGCUCCAGGAGCAGCACCCGUCCUGCACGACCACGCACCUCCUGUGUGUGCAUGAACCUGGGUCAUCCUCUCUGAGCCUUGGGUUCAUCAUCUACACUGCCAGAAGG
Fukomys damarensis (Damara mole-rat) is the source of this 337-nucleotide long non-coding RNA. RefSeq lists it as uncharacterized. The transcript is spliced from 3 exons. NCBI's taxonomy places the organism in Eukaryota, Metazoa, Chordata, Mammalia, Rodentia, Bathyergidae. The record is from RefSeq and is a predicted model, not a curated record.